UACGUAGGUGGCGAGCGUUGUCCGGAUUUACUGGGCGUAAAGAGCGCGCAGGCGGCUGGUCAAGUCCGAUGUGAAAGCUCCCGGCUUAACUGGGAAAUUGCAUCGGAAACUGAUCGGCUGGAAGGUGGGAGAGGGUAGCGGAAUUCCCGGUGUAGUGGUGAAAUUCGUAGAUAUCGGGUGGAACACCUGUGGCGAAGGCGGCCAUCUGGACGUCAACUGACGCUGAGACGCGAAAGCGUGGGGAGCAAACAGG
RNAcentral lists this ribosomal RNA (253 nucleotides) under uncultured bacterium. Its description in RNAcentral is "partial 16S ribosomal RNA". It matches the Rfam family "Bacterial small subunit ribosomal RNA", at positions 524 to 776 of the family's 1533-position model. The record is from RNAcentral.